Molecule: long non-coding RNA, 599 nt
Organism: Panthera uncia (snow leopard)
Lineage: Eukaryota; Metazoa; Chordata; Mammalia; Carnivora; Felidae
Exons: 3
Source: RefSeq, a predicted model, not a curated record
UCUACUUAGAUGAUAGUGGUUUUUUGUUCUCCUUUAUCUUGUUAAUGUGAUGUGAUCUUAUAUUGAUGAAUUUUCCAAUUCUAACCCAACUUUUACUUUCAUAGGGUUUCAGGGACUCUUCACAUGGUCUCUCCCUCAAGAUAGUUGGACUUCUUACAUGGUACCUCAGGACUCCCAGGAAUGAGCAUUCAAAGAGUCUUGGGCCAAAGCUGCAAGCCUUCUUUCAUCUAGCCUUAGAAGUCUUAGAAUAUUAGUUCAGCCACCUUCUAUUCACCAAGCUAAUCACUAAGGCCAACCCAGACUCAAAGGAAAGGUCAGAAGUGAUGGUGCAGCCAUAAAGAUGGAGAAUUUUCAACCUAAAAAAAAGGAAAAGACAAGACCCCAGAUUAUGUGGAGUGAAUAAGUGGAGCCUAUAUCCUAAGCAUGAUAUAGACCCGGAUGGUAUGUGUGGCCUAUAUGCACUAUCAAAGAUGACAUGGGUUGGAGAUUGUGAGUGUUUCACAUAGCACACCAUGGAGAGUGCUCCUGAUGUUAACAAGGGCAAGGAAAAGCUGCUGUAGACUGUCCUUGAAAUAUUUCUCCAGGUUUCAUAAUGGUGA